GACGAACGCUGGCGGCGUGCUUAACACAUGCAAGUCGAACGGAAAGGCCCUGCUUUUGUGGGGUGCUCGAGUGGCGAACGGGUGAGUAACACGUGAGUAACCUGCCCUUGACUUUGGUAUAACUUCAGGACACUGGGGCUAAUACCGGAUAGGAGCUCCUGCGGCAUGGUGGGGGUGGGAAAGUUUCGGCGGUUGGGGAAGGACUCGCGGCUUAUCAGCUUGUUGGUGGGGUAGUGGCUUACCAAGGCUUUGACGGGUAGCCGGCCUGAGUGGGUGACCGGCCACAUUGGGACUGAGAUACGGCCCAGCCUCCUACGGGAGGCAGCAGUGGGGAAUAUUGCACAAUGGGCGGAAGCCUGAUGCAGCAACGCCGCGUGCGGGAUGACGGCCUUCGGGUUGUAAACCGCUUUCGCCUGUGACGAAGCGUGAGUGACGGUAGUGGGUAAAGAAGCACCGGCUAACUACGUG
This 468-nucleotide ribosomal RNA is filed under the name uncultured bacterium. RNAcentral's name for it is "partial 16S ribosomal RNA". It matches the Rfam family "Bacterial small subunit ribosomal RNA", at positions 28 to 507 of the family's 1533-position model. The record is from RNAcentral.